GAUGAACGCUGGCGGCGUGCCUAAUACAUGCAAGUCGAUCGAACAGAUGAGGAGCUUGCUCCUCUGACGUUAGCGGCGGACGGGUUAGUAACACGUGGAUAACCUACCUAUAAGACUGGGAUAACUUCGGGAAACCGGAGCUAAUACCGGAUAAUAUAUUGAACCGCAUGGUUCAAUAGUGAAAGACGGUUUUGCUGUCACUUAUAGAUGGAUCCGCGCCGCAUUAGCUAGUUGGUAAGGUAACGGCUUACCAAGGCAACGAUGCGUAGCCGACCUGAGAGGGUGAUAGGCCACACUGGAACUGAGACACGGUACAGACUCCUAGGGGAGGCAGCAGUAGGGAAUCUUCCGAAAUGGGCGAAAGACUGACGGAGCAACGCCGCGUGAGUGAUGAAGGUCUUCGGAUCGUAAAACUCUGUUAUUAGGGAAGAACAAAUGUGUAAGUAACUAUGCACGUCUUGACGGUACCUUAUCAGAAAGCCACGGCUAACUACGUG
RNAcentral lists this ribosomal RNA (497 nucleotides) under uncultured bacterium. RNAcentral's name for it is "partial 16S ribosomal RNA". It matches the Rfam family "Bacterial small subunit ribosomal RNA", at positions 28 to 507 of the family's 1533-position model. The record is from RNAcentral.